UACGUAGGGUGCGAGCGUUGUCCGGAAUUAUUGGGCGUAAAUAGCUUGUAGGCGGUUUGUCGCGUCUGCUGUGAAAAUCCGGGGCUCAACCCCGGACUUGCAGUGGGUACGGGCAGACUAGAGUGUGGUAGGGGAGACUGGAAUUCCUGGUGUAGCGGUGAAAUGCGCGGAUAUCAGGAGGAACACCGAUGGCGAAGGCAGGUCUCUGGGCCACUACUGACGCUGAGAAGCGAAAGCAUGGGGAGCGAACAGGAUUAGAUACCCCCGUA
This 269-nucleotide ribosomal RNA is filed under the name uncultured prokaryote. Its description in RNAcentral is "partial 16S ribosomal RNA". It matches the Rfam family "Bacterial small subunit ribosomal RNA", at positions 524 to 792 of the family's 1533-position model. The record is from RNAcentral.